Molecule: transfer RNA, 76 nt
Filed under: Gammaproteobacteria bacterium
Lineage: Bacteria; Pseudomonadati; Pseudomonadota; Gammaproteobacteria
Description: tRNA-His
Rfam family: tRNA
About the family: Transfer RNA (tRNA) molecules are approximately 80 nucleotides in length. Their secondary structure includes four short double-helical elements and three loops (D, anti-codon, and T loops).
Source: RNAcentral
GUGGGCGUAGCUCAGUUGGUAGAGCCCUGGAUUGUGGUUCCAGUGGUCGCGGGUUCGAAUCCCGUCGUCCACCCCA